AAAAAAUUAAAAUUUUUAAAAAAUCGUAAAAAGUAACUAUCGCGGUAAAGUUUAGGCCUCAAAAUUUUUUAUACUAUAUCUUUAAUAACAACAACACAGAAGUGCAAAAUAUUCUCAAAGCGAUGCAAAUAUUUUGGAAAAGUCUUACUAAUAUUCGAGCAUUGAAUAAGUUGUCAUUCUAUAAGUUUUAUGGAGUAAACCGGGUUACAAAAUUUUGAUCGUAAACGUGUCUGAGGUGAAUAGUUUCAUUGGGCAACUUCUCUUUAUUCCAGAGACAACGCUGUCAAGUAUGACAUAGAGAGUGUUUCUUUUGAAUUCAAUUUCUUCUUUACUGCAAUUUCCAUCCACUUCUUCAUGUAUGUGGCAUUGAUCUCUUGAAGAACUAAGUUUCUUUCAUUGACUGACUGAAGGAUGUUAAACCAUAUGAAUGCCUUCAAAACGCAGUCUAAUUUGCUCAUUUAUUUCAAAAUUCCAUCAACGUCCCGACGAGUUUCUGCUGUAAGGUUGAGUUUUUUAACUUCGUUCAAAACGUUUAUCAACUCGGGAACAUUUUUUGCAAAUGACUUGACGGCCACCAUUCUGGUAGACCACCUUGUAUUAGAAAGGGAGGGAAAUGAAUUGGGGCUUUUGGAUUUCAGAAUUUCAAAAUAUAUGUGAUGCUAUCGAAAAUAUUGAAACAUUUUUGAACGGCACCAAAAAAAGUUAUUGCUUCAGGGCAGCAUUUAGCCGAGUCACUCCAGUCAAAUUCAGCGUAUGGGCACCAUAGGGGGAAAGAACUGCUUGCUUAUUUUUAAGCUGGAUGUAAUUUUUCGUUCUUUUAUAUUUACCGCUCAUAUUACUACCAUUAUCGUAGCCCUAUUCACAGCAAUCUUCCAAAGGAAUGUUGUGAUUUUCCAAUGUUUUGAAAAUUAAAGUGGCAAUAGCUACGCCAUUUUUUUCAUGAUAAUCUACAAAAGCGAGAAAACAUUCUUUUAUAAAUGAUCACAACGUUUAAAUAAAUGUUCGAAUUAAUCACCUAUCAAAAGCAAUCUAAUUUUUAACUAUUCACCUAAUUUUUUGGACAUACGGGGGAAUCACAGCCUGGUUAUGUUAAGAAUAAUGUAGUCCAUGGACGUUUUGCAAAGGCGGUGAAAGGAAAUACCGGUCAAAUGCAAUUGCCUCAAAAUCAACCAAGCGGAAGUGUUUAAAAUAUGAUUUUAAAUCUUACCUAAUAUAUGACACAAUACAAUGCAAAAUAUGAUUCAAGAUUUAAUCAAAGCGCAAUUUAAUAUUUGUAUAUGGAAUGCCAACGGUGUUAACCAACAUAAAUUGGAGAUCAUUAGAUUUCUAAAUGAAAAAAAAUAUCGAUGUAAUUCGAUAUAAUGUUACGAUCGGAAACACAUCUAACAAAUAAGAACAAUUUUUUAUAACCGUGUUGGUAAGAAAUCGACUAAUAAAAAUGCUUUGAAACUCAUGCGACACCCAGUUGCAAGCUACAAAAAUAUUACUAAACAAAUUACAGACGAAUAU
This is a long non-coding RNA of Bactrocera oleae (olive fruit fly), 1509 nucleotides long. RefSeq lists it as uncharacterized. The record is from RefSeq and is a predicted model, not a curated record. NCBI's taxonomy places the organism in Eukaryota, Metazoa, Arthropoda, Insecta, Diptera, Tephritidae.